UAUAUUAUUAAGUGAACCUUUACGCACUUCCUUUUUCUACAUCUCAACCAAUGAGAAUUGUUCAGCCAUUUUCAAUAGGAUGUAUAAAGGAUACACACGGUAAUAUAUACUUGUGUGCUAUUAAUACGUUCUUUUGAAAUCCGUGUCCUUGCGUCAGUUCAUGUUCAACAGGUUGUGUGGAGACUAUACAUAGCGUCACGAUUCUUUUCCUAUAAGUACUGCCACCCACCAGUGGAUACACAUAUGCCUUUACGACAUCGAAACAUCACAACCAUUUGGACAAUGACAGCUGCGUGGAGUCUCCUGGUGCUGAUCUUGUGUGUGGGGCUGGUCACAAGCUCUGUGCUGCCUGAUAAUGUGGAACAAGUUGCACAGAGCCAUCAUCGAGAUACACGCAGCCCCGUGGUACCCUGUGGAUUACUGCGCUGGUAUUGUGUUUGGUUACAAAGAUUUCGCCUUACCUGGACACCGUUUUACAAGAACAACUGCUAUUCGAGGUGUCAGGUGGAUAACGACACAAACACCGAGUUCAGCUGUGUUGGGGGCAAAGACUGUGAGCGGUCAACAUUCACACGUAUGUCAUAAUGUUUCGCAGGUCUUGCUCCCUGCAGUGAGACAAAACACCAAAGAAGAAAACAUGAAAUAUAUGAGUUCUUCCCUACCUGCAUCUAUUAAACAGGCGACGUCAAACGGCACUGUCCCCAUACAACUGGCUCCAGAUAUGUUUGUGCAGUUCACUCAAACAUAUAUGUUUUCACUGUGCCUGAAGAUCUUUUGGAACAGUUGGCUCAUACUCUGUGUUUAUACAGCUGGCGCAUGGUCUGUGUUUGUUCUGUUGACUCCAGUUCAGCGUUUGUAGAGAUGGUUCACUAUUUGUGUCUGUACAACUGGCUAUGGAUCUGUGUUUGUAUGGUGUACGUGUCCAAUAACCUUGCACCUGACUAUCUCUCUGAUUUCGUCCCACCUAAAGUAGCAGGAUCUAAUGACUACAGCCUAAGGAAUAGAUCUAAAUUACAGAAUCUACAUUGCAGAACAGCAAGCUAUGCAAAGUCUUAAAGUUUUCUUUCUGAUAUUCUUGAAUUCCUUGCCUACUGCAUAUACUGAUGACAGUACAUUGAAUGAUUUUAAAGGAUGAUAAAAUGUGAUGAAAUGCAUUGCAACAAAUUUGAUUUAAUUAUGGUCCUAGGUUCAACUAAAUUGUGCACUGUCACCUGAGACUUGGCUCCAUUGACCUCUAUGGUGGCAGGUUUCAAAUGUUUAUAUCAGCUAAUCAAAAUUAUUCUUGUGGCUA
RNAcentral lists this long non-coding RNA (1291 nucleotides) under Haliotis rufescens (red abalone). RNAcentral describes it as "uncharacterized LOC125378674". Lineage: Eukaryota; Metazoa; Mollusca; Gastropoda; Lepetellida; Haliotidae. The record is from RNAcentral.